Molecule: long non-coding RNA, 626 nt
Organism: Diceros bicornis minor
Lineage: Eukaryota; Metazoa; Chordata; Mammalia; Perissodactyla; Rhinocerotidae
Exons: 3
Source: RefSeq, a predicted model, not a curated record
CCUCCUUCGCUGGACCACAAGGAAUGCCUUUUUGGAAAAGUAAUGGAGUCCAGUGAACUUUAACUUCAUUGAUCUCUAAGGAUUAUUGAAAAUUAUAAAACUUGCUAUGGGACUCUGAUGUGCCAGAAGCCACUAGAAAAAGAAGUUUGAUAUUCAGAAUCUCAUCAAGAGCCUCUCCUUGUCUUUAGAUAGAGACUAAAAUGAUACUUUCAAUCAGCUGGUCCCUCUUCUCAGGUGUAGAUCACCUAUUAUCAUUUCACCUGUUUUCAUUCUCUGAUGAGGAAAGUCCCGGGACGUAUCAGCUGGGAUAGGCCUCAUUCACAAGACAGCUCUGUUCCGUAUUUGGAAGAAAGCCUGACAGGUUUCUCCGGAAAAGUGGCCAUCCAUGGAGUGAAUGAAAUGUUCCCUUUCUAUUCCAGUAAGUAAUUGACUUGUAACUAAAAUUGAACUGGCUGCUAUGUCAACUGCAAUGUGAGCUGCUGCUGGCACAGGUGUUGCUUACUCUUUAGCCUGGAAAGAAAAGGGGCUUAACCUGUGAUUGCAUUUCAAGUCAAUUGACCUCAACGUGAUAGUACAUAAUUCUCACUUGCCUACCAAAUGGCCUGAGUUCUCAUUCUCACCCUGGU